RNAcentral lists this ribosomal RNA (690 nucleotides) under Lentilactobacillus buchneri. RNAcentral describes it as "Lactobacillus buchneri partial 23S ribosomal RNA". It matches the Rfam family "Bacterial large subunit ribosomal RNA", at positions 2238 to 2925 of the family's 2925-position model. Lineage: Bacteria; Bacillati; Bacillota; Bacilli; Lactobacillales; Lactobacillaceae. The record is from RNAcentral.
AGCGUGGCGGGAGACAGUGUCAGGUAGGCAGUUUGACUGGGGCGGUCGCCUCCCAAACAGUAACGGAGGCGCCCAAAGGUUCCCUCAGAAUGGUUGGAAAUCAUUCAACGAGUGUAAAGGCAGAAGGGAGCUUGACUGCGAGACAGACAGGUCGAGCAGGGACGAAAGUCGGGCUUAGUGAUCCGGUGGUACCGUAUGGAAGGGCCAUCGCUCAACGGAUAAAAGCUACCCUGGGGAUAACAGGCUUAUCUCCCCCAAGAGUCCACAUCGACGGGGAGGUUUGGCACCUCGAUGUCGGCUCAUCGCAUCCUGGGGCUGUAGUCGGUCCCAAGGGUUGGGCUGUUCGCCCAUUAAAGCGGUACGCGAGCUGGGUUCAGAACGUCGUGAGACAGUUCGGUCCCUAUCCGUCGCGGGCGUAGGAAAUUUGAGAGGAGCUGUCCUUAGUACGAGAGGACCGGGAUGGACAUACCGCUGGUGUACCAGUUGCGCCGCCAGGCGCACCGCUGGGUAGCUACGUAUGGAUGAGAUAAACGCUGAAAGCAUCUAAGUGUGAAACUCACCUCAAGAUGAGAUUUCCCAUUCCUAUAUGGAAGUAAGACCCCUGAGAGAUGAUCAGGUAGAUAGGUUGGAAGUGGAAGUGCAGUGAUGUACGGAGCGGACCAAUACUAAUCGGUCGAGGACUUAACCAAG